GUGGGGAAUAUUGGACAAUGGGGGGAACCCUGAUCCAGCCAUGCCGCGUGUGUGAAGAAGGCCUUUUGGUUGUAAAGCACUUUAAGUUGGGAGGAAGGGCAGUAAGUUAAUACCUUGCUGUUUUGACGUUACCAACAGAAUAAGCACCGGCUAACUUCGUGCCAGCAGCCGCGGUAAUACGAAGGGUGCAAGCGUUAAUCGGAAUUACUGGGCGUAAAGCGCGCGUAGGUGGUUCAGCAAGUUGAAGGUGAAAUCCCCGGGCUCAACCUGGGAACUGCCUCCAAAACUACUGAGCUAGAGUACGGUAGAGGGUAGUGGAAUUUCCUGUGUAGCGGUGAAAUGCGUAGAUAUAGGAAGGAACACCAGUGGCGAAGGCGACUACCUGGACUGAUACUGACACUGAGGUGCGAAAGCGUGGGGAGCAAACAGGAUUAGAAACCCUUGUAGUCC
Molecule: ribosomal RNA, 450 nt
Filed under: uncultured bacterium
Lineage: Bacteria
Description: bacterial SSU rRNA
Rfam family: Bacterial small subunit ribosomal RNA
Source: RNAcentral